AAAGCUACCAUUUACUGAUCUUCCUAUCUGCAAAGUUGUCAUCAGAGCAUGCUUAAAAGAAACUACAGAAAGGCAAAAUUAUCCGAAGUGGAAGACGGAAUAAGUGAAGCCCUGAAGCAUGUCCCUAAAAGACAAGGUGGCCUAAAGUAUAAGGAUCCUGAACCUAAAAGACCUAAUUAUUUAACAGCACAAGAGUCGUCCGAUUCAGAAAACUCGGCGCAGAUUAAAUCAAGACAGAGUGCAAGGUUCAGUGCCCCAGGAAGGUCAUACAGUAUGAGGCCCACACACACACACACACACACACACACACACACACACACUCCUGCCAUCAUACUUCCCACUCUCUAUACCACAUAACCAUCAUUUACCACCUGCUACUACUUAAUGUAGUAAUUGUUGAUGUGCAAGCAAGUCCGCACCAAGUCUACCUCGCUCCUAAGAACCUUCUUGUGCAAGAUAAAAUUCAUGAUCUUAUAAUUCAUAAUGUAAGUUUUUAUUUCUUAACUGCUACCAGGAGAGAUCAAGUAGAGUAUAUAUGUGUAGCCCAUGAAAUAUGAUUUUUUUUUUUUUUACAAUAUAUUUAUACCUAAUUUUUUUUUUUCAAAUAUUAUUGCCCAUGGA
Molecule: long non-coding RNA, 621 nt
Organism: Macrobrachium nipponense
Lineage: Eukaryota; Metazoa; Arthropoda; Malacostraca; Decapoda; Palaemonidae
Exons: 3
Source: RefSeq, a predicted model, not a curated record